RNAcentral lists this ribosomal RNA (372 nucleotides) under uncultured bacterium. Its description in RNAcentral is "bacterial SSU rRNA". It matches the Rfam family "Bacterial small subunit ribosomal RNA", at positions 524 to 898 of the family's 1533-position model. The record is from RNAcentral.
CACGUAAGGGGCGAGCGUUGUUCGGAAUUAUUGGGCGUAAAGGGCGUGUAGGCUGUUUUGUAAGCCUGGUGUGAAAGUGCACGGCUUAACUGUGUAUGUGCGCUGGGAACUGCAAGACUAGAGUCCGGAAGGGGGAGGUAGAAUUCCUGGUGUAGGGGUGAAAUCUGUAGAUAUCAGGAAGAAUACCGGUGGCGAAGGCGACCUCCUGGUCCUGGUCUGACGCUGAGGCGCGAAAGCGUGGGGAGCGAACAGGAUUAGAUACCCUGGUAGUCCACGCUGUAAACGAUGUGCACUAGGUGUUGGGGCAAGAGCUUCAGUGCCGAAGCGAACGCGAUAAGUGCACCGCCUGGGGAGUAUGCUCGCAAGGGUGAA